ACUUAGCCAUGCAUGCUUUCUAGGUUUACUUUCUCAUCUAAACUUCUGCUGCAGUUUGCCAUUCACAAUGACACAUUGAACACUUUAAGAGACCAAAAUGGUUGUCGUGCAGGGUGAAAAAGACUAAUUGAAGAGGAUAUAACAAGAACCAAUUAUCAUAAAUUAAUGCCUAGGAGAACUCACAUUUAGAAUCAGUUUGAGCAUCCAACAAGGUUGAGGAAAAAUAAGGGGUAGAACAAACACUUGACCUGAAUUGACAUAAUAUUCCAAAACAAAUACAUUCAUUCACUUUACUAAGCACUUACAGAAAGUAGGCUAAUAUUAAUAGCUGAAAGCCAGAUCAAAU
RNAcentral lists this long non-coding RNA (346 nucleotides) under Solanum tuberosum (potato). RNAcentral's name for it is "long non-coding RNA (STUB_LNC004179)". The record is from RNAcentral. Lineage: Eukaryota; Viridiplantae; Streptophyta; Magnoliopsida; Solanales; Solanaceae.